This 30-nucleotide ribosomal RNA is filed under the name Flammulina velutipes. Its description in RNAcentral is "partial 18S ribosomal RNA". RNAcentral also lists the same sequence under 2 other names. The record is from RNAcentral. Lineage: Eukaryota; Fungi; Basidiomycota; Agaricomycetes; Agaricales; Physalacriaceae.
UUCCGUAGGUGAACUGCGGAAGGAUCAUUA